GCCCGGCUUGCUCAGUGGGUCGAGCAUGAGACUCUUAAUCUUGGGGUCAUGGGCUUGUGCACCACGUUGGGCU
Molecule: transfer RNA, 73 nt
Filed under: Trichonephila inaurata madagascariensis
Lineage: Eukaryota; Metazoa; Arthropoda; Arachnida; Araneae; Nephilidae
Description: tRNA-Lys
Source: RNAcentral